Molecule: ribosomal RNA, 571 nt
Filed under: Pichia kluyveri
Lineage: Eukaryota; Fungi; Ascomycota; Pichiomycetes; Pichiales; Pichiaceae
Description: LSU rRNA
Rfam family: Eukaryotic large subunit ribosomal RNA
Source: RNAcentral
CAACAGGGAUUGCCUCAGUAGCGGCGAGUGAAGCGGCAAGAGCUCAGAUUUGAAAUCUCACCUAGUGUGCGAGUUGUAAAUUGCAGGUUGGAGUCUCGGGUUAGACGUGUGUGCAAGUCCCUUGGAACAGGGUGCCACUGAGGGUGAGAGCCCCGUAUCGUGCAUGUCGACACCUGUGAGGCCCUUCUGACGAGUCGAGUUGUUUGGGAAUGCAGCUCUAAGUGGGUGGUAAAUUCCAUCUAAGGCUAAAUAUUGGCGAGAGACCGAUAGCGAACAAGUACUGUGAAGGAAAGAUGAAAAGCACUUUGAAAAGAGAGUGAAACAGCACGUGAAAUUGUUGAAAGGGAAGGGUAUUGGGCUCGACAUGGGAUUUACGCAUCGUUGCCUCUCGUGGGCGGCGCUCUGGGUUUUUCCUGGGCCAGCAUCGGUUUUCGUUGCAGGAUAAGGACAAUUGGAAUGUGGCUCCUCGGAGUGUUAUAGCCUUUUGUAGAUGCUGCGUAUGGGGACCGAGGGCUGCGGCGGACUCGUUUCGUCUCGGAUGCUGGCACAACGGCGCAAUACCGCCCGUCUU